This 254-nucleotide ribosomal RNA is filed under the name uncultured bacterium. RNAcentral's name for it is "partial 16S ribosomal RNA". It matches the Rfam family "Bacterial small subunit ribosomal RNA", at positions 524 to 776 of the family's 1533-position model. The record is from RNAcentral.
UACAGAGGGUGCAAGCGUUAAUCGGAAUUACUGGGCGUAAAGCGUGCGUAGGCGGAUAUUUAAGUCGAAUGUGAAAGCCCUGGGCUUAACCUGGGAACUGCAUUCGAUACUGGGUAUUCUUGAGUAUAGUAGAGGAAAGUGGAAUUCUCGGUGUAGCGGUGAAAUGCGUAGAUAUCGGGAGGAACAUCAAUGGCGAAGGCAACUUUCUGGACUAAUACUGACGCUGAGGCACGAAAGCGUGGGGAGCAAACAGG